CCCUUAGAUGUCCUGGGCUGCACGCGCGCUACACUGAUGUGUCCAGUAAGCACCUAACCUCUUCCGAAAGGAACGGGUAACCUUUGCAAAGCACAUCGUGAUGGGGAUAGAUUAUUGCAAUUAUUAGUCUUGAACGAGGAAUUCCUAGUAAGCACAAGUCAUCAGCUUGUGUUGAUUACGUCCCUGCCCUUUGUACACACCGCCCGUCGCUCCUACCGAUGGGUGAUCCGGUGAAUGAUUCGGACUCGGUUGCCUCUAGCCACUAGUGGCGCUCGAGAAAGUUUUGUGAACCUUAUCACUUGGAGGAAGGAGAAGUCGUAACA
This 323-nucleotide ribosomal RNA is filed under the name uncultured eukaryote. RNAcentral describes it as "partial 18S ribosomal RNA". It matches the Rfam family "Eukaryotic small subunit ribosomal RNA", at positions 1470 to 1796 of the family's 1831-position model. The record is from RNAcentral.